Molecule: unclassified non-coding RNA, 20 nt
Filed under: Mus musculus (house mouse)
Lineage: Eukaryota; Metazoa; Chordata; Mammalia; Rodentia; Muridae
Description: oocyte_clustered_small_RNA5014
Source: RNAcentral
AAUGUGCUCCACUCCUCCUU